CCCAUAGUAGGGUACAGCCCGGCGAAAGUCGGAUUAAUGCCCUAUGUUCUUCGCAGAUGGCAUCUGAUGUGAAGCAAAGGUUUUCCGCUAUGGGAUGGGGAUGCGUCUGAUUAGCUUGCCGGCGGGGUAACGGCCCACCGGGGCGACGAUCAGUAGGGGUUCUGAGAGGAAGGUCCCCCACACUGGUACUGAGACACGGACCAGACUCCUACGGGAGGCAGCAGUGAGGAAUAUUGGUCAAUGGGCGAGAGCCUGAACCAGCCAAGUAGCGUGCAAGGAUGACCGGCCCGUACGGGGUUAGUAAACUGUCUUUUAUGGCGGGGAUAAAGUUCGCCAUGCGUGGUGUUUUGCAUGUACCGCAUGAAUAAGGACCGGCUAAUUCCGUGCCAGCCGCUGC
RNAcentral lists this ribosomal RNA (397 nucleotides) under uncultured bacterium. Its description in RNAcentral is "bacterial SSU rRNA". It matches the Rfam family "Bacterial small subunit ribosomal RNA", at positions 130 to 518 of the family's 1533-position model. The record is from RNAcentral.